Molecule: long non-coding RNA, 446 nt
Organism: Paramisgurnus dabryanus
Lineage: Eukaryota; Metazoa; Chordata; Actinopteri; Cypriniformes; Cobitidae
Source: RefSeq, a predicted model, not a curated record
AUGAGAGUUGUGAAUGCGAUGUGUGUAUUAGGCUGUACAUAAUAUUAACGGAAAGAGAGUGAUAAUAUAUAACCUUUCAUCGCUUCCGAAGUGACUAAAAGGGAUAUUGGACCUUAUUUUCAGAUUACAGACAACACGAGAGGGUGCUUCAAACUUUUUAAUCAGGACUGCAUUGUUUGUUCGCUCCCGGGGUUACAUAGACUGAAACGAGGAAGUGUGACGAGUUUGUUUACAUGGUGCUGUAAACUUCAACCCAGGAGGACACUUCAAAGGAAUCAAGGUGUCUGUGAUAUUGAAACACUAAAGGAAGAAGAGGAGGACCACCAUUCGUUUCCUGAGCAGAAAAAAAAUUAAGCAUGUAAUUCAUUGAUGAAAAUUAGAACAAAUAAAUCUCAUGACUUCAUUGAUCUUUCUUUUUUUACAUGUAAUUUUCUCCUCUUUCUCAA